UGGUUGUUGAUAGAGUUUGUGGCU
Molecule: non-coding RNA, 24 nt
Filed under: Arabidopsis thaliana (thale cress)
Lineage: Eukaryota; Viridiplantae; Streptophyta; Magnoliopsida; Brassicales; Brassicaceae
Source: RNAcentral